This is a long non-coding RNA of Rattus rattus (black rat), 1137 nucleotides long. RefSeq lists it as uncharacterized. NCBI's taxonomy places the organism in Eukaryota, Metazoa, Chordata, Mammalia, Rodentia, Muridae. The record is from RefSeq and is a predicted model, not a curated record. The transcript is spliced from 2 exons.
CUUCAUGGGGACAGGAGGAGAGAGCACCUCAGCAGCUGCAGGAGUUGGUGGUGACUGACAGCAGCAGGAGCUGAGGGUUUCCACAUGAACUAGCAGACUGCAACUAGUCAUCUCUAAAAUAAUCGUCUUCCUGAAGACAGCCAUCAGGCUUCCGCAGCUAUUUAGGAUACGAUGUGGCCGGUGCCGGGGCAAACUGGAAGAUUUUCUCUUUGCUGUGAGCUUUAAUCAUUAUCCUUAAUUUGAGAGACUGACGUUUAGUCAUUAUGUCAUGUUCUCAGCACACUCCUGCAAAAGAACUGGCAAAAACAAGCCUGGGCCCGGCGCGGCGGCCCUGCGCCCCCUGGCGGCGGGUGCUGGCCAGGCCCCCGGCGGCCCGGGCCCUAUCUCCCAUCGCUUGGCUUAUUGCAGUGGCCGGCCGCGAUAAGGGCUCCGCGCGGCGCGAUAUUGGCCUCAUUUUCCCCCGCAGACGGCGGGAGCGAUAUGAAGCCUCUCGCCGCGGCCCGCAUCCUCCCCGCCCUUUUUCAUUUCCUCUGCCCGCGUGCAAAUCACACCACUCUCUCUCACCCGAGCCGAGCGGGGCCGCGACGAGUGAGACAGAAAGAGUGAGGGGGGAAAACACCUAGUGAAAAAUCGAGGGGGAAAAGAACGAGGGAAAAGUCCUAGAGAGAAAAAAAAAAAGAGGGAGAAAACCCACCAAGAAAGAGCGAGUGAAAAAGACCUAUCAAGAAAGAGCGAGGGGAGGAAAGACCUGCCGAGAAAAGGCGAGGGUUAAAGACCAGCGAAAACCCGAGGGGGAAAAAGGAGCGAGGGAAACGACCUCGCGAGGAAAAGCGAUGGGUAAAACCUAGCGAAAACCCGAGGGUAAAGAGCGAGGAAAAAGACCUAUCGCGGAAAGGCGAGGGGUAAAAGACUUGCCGAGAAAGAGCGAGGGGAAAAAAAAAAAAAAAAAAAAAAAAAAAAAAAACAACUAGCGAGCAGGAGCGAGGGAAAAGGACCUACCGAGAAAGAGCGAGGGAAGAAAACCUAGCGAGAAAGAGCGAGGGGAGAAAACCUAACGAGGAAGAGCGAGGGAAAAGGACCUGCCGAGAAAGAGCAAGGGAAGAAAACCUAGCGAGAAAGAGCGAGGGGAGAAAAGAC